UACGAGGGGGGCGAGCGUUGUUCGGAAUUAUUGGGCGUAAAGGGUGCGUAGGCGGUUCCGCAAGUCCUGUGUGAAAUCUUCGGGCUCAACUCGAAGUCUGCACGGGAAACUGCGGGGCUUGAGUGUGGGAGAGGUGAGUGGAAUUCCCGGUGUAGCGGUGAAAUGCGUAGAUAUCGGGAGGACACCUGUGGCGAAAGCGGCUCACUGGACCAUAACUGACGCUGAUGCACGAAAGCUGGGGGAGCAAACCAGG
Molecule: ribosomal RNA, 253 nt
Filed under: uncultured bacterium
Lineage: Bacteria
Description: partial 16S ribosomal RNA
Rfam family: Bacterial small subunit ribosomal RNA
Source: RNAcentral